Molecule: ribosomal RNA, 773 nt
Filed under: uncultured bacterium
Lineage: Bacteria
Description: bacterial SSU rRNA
Rfam family: Bacterial small subunit ribosomal RNA
Source: RNAcentral
CUGGCGGCGUGCUUAACACAUGCAAGUCGAACGAAGCACUCUUUUAGAUUUCCUUCGGGGAAGAAGAAAUUGUGACUGAGUGGCGGACGGGUGAGUAACGCGUGGGCAACCUGCCCCAUACAGGGGGAUAACAGCCGGAAACGGCUGCUAAAACCGCAUAAGCGCACAAGGGCCGCAUGGCCUGGUGUGAAAAACUCCGGUGGUAUGGGAUGGGCCCGCGUCUGAUUAGCUAGUUGGCGGGGGAGAGGCCCACCAAGGCGACGAUCAGUAGCCGACCUGAGAGGGUGGCCGGCCACAUUGGGACUGAGACACGGCCCAAACUCCUACGGGAGGCAGCAGUGGGGAAUAUUGCACAAUGGGGGAAACCCUGAUGCAGCGACGCCGCGUGAGCGAAGAAGUAUUUCGGUAUGUAAAGCUCUAUCAGCAGGGAAGAAAAAUGACGGUACCUGAGUAAGAAGCACCGGCUAAAUACGUGCCAGCAGCCGCGGUAAUACGUAUGGUGCAAGCGUUAUCCGGAUUUACUGGGUGUAAAGGGAGCGCAGGCGGUGCGGCAAGUCUGAUGUGAAAGCCCGGGGCUCAACCCCGGGACUGCAUUGGAAACUACCGAACUAGAGUGUCGGAGAGGUAAGUGGAAUUCCUAGUGUAGCGGUGAAAUGCGUAGAUAUUAGGAGGAACACCAGUGGCGAAGGCGGCUUACUGGACGAUAACUGACGCUGAGGCUCGAAAGCGUGGGGAGCAAACAGGAUUAGAUACCCUGGUAGUCCACGCCGUAA